Molecule: ribosomal RNA, 483 nt
Filed under: uncultured Desulfobulbus sp.
Lineage: Bacteria; Pseudomonadati; Thermodesulfobacteriota; Desulfobulbia; Desulfobulbales; Desulfobulbaceae
Description: bacterial SSU rRNA
Rfam family: Bacterial small subunit ribosomal RNA
Source: RNAcentral
GACGGGGCCCGCACAAGCGGUGGAGUAUGUGGUUUAAUUCGAUGCAACGCGAAGAACCUUACCUGGUCUUGACAUCCCCGGAAGACCCUUAGGAAACGUAGGGGGUGGCCUUUCCAUCUGGGAAGAAUCUGGAGACAGGUGCUGCAUGGCUGUCGUCAGCUCGUGUCGUGAGAUGUUGGGUUAAGUCCCGCAACGAGCGCAACCCUUGCCUUUAGUUGCCAGCAGUUCGGCUGGGCACUCUAAAGGGACUGCCGGUGUUAAACCGGAGGAAGGUGGGGAUGACGUCAAGUCCUCAUGGCCUUUAUGACCAGGGCUACACACGUACUACAAUGGCCGAUACAAAGGGCAGCGACACUGCGAGGUGAAGCCAAUCCCGUAAAAUCGGUCUCAGUCCGGAUUGGAGUCUGCAACUCGACUCCAUGAAGUUGGAAUCGCUAGUAAUCGCGCAUCAGCCAUGGCGCGGUGAAUACGUUCCCGGGCCUU